RNAcentral lists this ribosomal RNA (440 nucleotides) under uncultured bacterium. RNAcentral's name for it is "partial 16S ribosomal RNA". It matches the Rfam family "Bacterial small subunit ribosomal RNA", at positions 338 to 795 of the family's 1533-position model. The record is from RNAcentral.
CCUACGGGAGACAGCAGUGGGGAAUAUUGCACAAUGGGCGAAACCCUGAUGCAGCCACGCCGCGUGAGUGAAGAAGUAUUUCUGUAUUUAAAGCUCUAUCAGCAGGGAAGAGAAUGACGGUACCUGACUAAGAAUCCCCGUCUAACUACGUGCCAGCAGCCGUGGUAAUACGUAGGGGGCAAGCGUUAUCCGGAUUUACUGGGUGUAAAGGGAGCGUAGACGGCUGUACAAGUCUGAAGGGAAAGCCCGUGGAUCAACCUCGGAACUGCUUGGGAAACUGUUAAGCUAGAGUACUGGAGGGGCAGGCGGAAUGCAUGGUGUAGCGGUGAAAUGCGUAGAUAUUAGGAGGAACACCAGUGGCGAAGGCGGCAUGCUGGACAGAAACUGACGUUGAGGCACGAAAGCGUGGGGAGCAAACAGGAUUAGAUACCCCAGUAGUC